AGUGAACGCUGGCGGUAGGCCUAACACAUGCAAGUCGAACGGCGGCACAGUAAGAGCUUGCUCUUACGGGUGGCGAGUGGCGGACGGGUGAGGAAUACAUCGGAAUCUACUUUUUCGUGGGGGAUAACGUAGGGAAACUUACGCUAAUACCGCAUACGACCUACGGGUGAAAGCAGGGGAUCUUCGGACCUUGCGCGAUUGAAUGAGCCGAUGUCGGAUUAGCUAGUUGGCGGGGUAAAGGCCCACCAAGGCGACGAUCCGUAGCUGGUCUGAGAGGAUGAUCAGCCACACUGGAACUGAGACACGGUCCAGACUCCUACGGGAGGCAGCAGUGGGGAAUAUUGGACAAUGGGCGCGAGCCUGAUCCAGCCAUACCGCGUGGGUGAAGAAGGCCUUCGGGUUGUAAAGCCCUUUUGUUGGGAAAGAAAAGCAGCAGGUUAAUACCCCGCUGUUCUGACGGUACCCAAAGAAUAAGCACCGGCUAACUUCGUG
RNAcentral lists this ribosomal RNA (492 nucleotides) under uncultured bacterium. Its description in RNAcentral is "partial 16S ribosomal RNA". It matches the Rfam family "Bacterial small subunit ribosomal RNA", at positions 29 to 507 of the family's 1533-position model. The record is from RNAcentral.